UAGUCAGAUUGCGCUUCUUAUUCUCGUUCCUUACUUGAAAUAUAAGCUUCUUGAAUGCAUCCAUAAGUGUUCGAGCCCUAAUCCAAUCCGAAAUAAGCAAGAGGAAAACAUGAACAACCCACGGACAGACGGAGCGGACGGUCGUUUGUGAGCAUCCACGUGCAAUCUGAUGUCAUCAGGAGGAGGAAGUCAAGACAGUUAAGUGUGGCUCAGAGGGGCUCGGAGGGGCCUGGGUCACCGUGGUCCAACCCUGCUGACAGAGCUGACAGCGGUCUGUUAGAGGGGGGGCGGGGGAGGACUUGUAACCAGGCGGACGUCAGAGAUCUAUUCUGGAUGCCCGGUGCGACAGCCGGCCAGCAACAGCAGCAGCAGCAGGGGGAAGGAAUGCUGUCUGUCCGGAGGCCUGGGCAGAGUGAUCGCUGAUCCUGUCGGAGGAAGUGGAGAUGGCGGCUCUCCUGUUUCAUGGCUCGUGGAAGAGAGAGAGCGAGAGAGAGAGAGAGAGGGAGUUGGACUGGGGACAUGACGCUCAAAAGAGAGGGGAGAGAGACUAAGAGAGUGGUGGUGGUGGUGUUGGGAGGGGGCUGAAGGCAUUUGGUUUGGUGCCAGUCGAGCCAGCUCUCUGGCAUGCCACAUUCCAGGAGAUCAACACCAUGGUAUUUCCUUUCACCCCCAACCCACAUCCACCACACUGCAGUCCACCACAAUCCCAAGCACCGUUUUCCUCCAAUAAAUCUUUAUCGAACAAGAAAAAUAAAGCAAUAAUGUGUUAUCGUAUGUACAACAAAUACAUAUCACAGCGGUGGAGAAUCUAAAAAUUUAAAAAUAAAUAUCUAAAGCAUCAUAAUUAUUGUGGCACAGAUGCUGCAGCUCUUUCUCCUAGAAAUUAAAAAUGGGAAAUGAUAUUUGAGGAACGCACCCUUCCUCAAUUCAUUUUACUCAGGAGGUUUUGUGGUCUCGUAAGACAAAAUUUAGGUUUAUUAUUGUUGUGUAACUGAUAUCACUGACUACUUUCACUGACUUAAUGACUCUUAUCUUCUGGUGCUAGUGUUACAUCAUGUUUUAUCAUUAUCUUGUAAGAGUUUUGACUGCGAGACAACAACAAUUGUGUAAGUUUACCGCACGUCUCGUUGCGCCAGAAGAGUCUAAUACAAUCUAAGCCUCAAUCUGUGUCAGACGAUAUCAGUUUGAGGCUGUCAGAUUGUACGCUGAACGCGUGGUGAAUCACAGCGCUAUAGUCUAAAUAGAAAAUAAGCAUAUGAAAGCAGAGACAAGUCACCGGCUCAUCAGCCAUGUGGUGUUUUGGAAAUGCAGCAGUCACAGAAAACUUCUUUUUCGUUUCACCUCAAUCAUUUUGGUUUGUGUGAGUCAUGGUUGUGUUAAAGAGGGUCUGUUUCAGUUCAGUCUGAAAUAGACCGCCCCCCCUGCUGAUGAACUCGUGGUUGGUUUGUAGUUGUGGGUUGAAACAGCAGUCACAUUGUGAAAAUUAGGUCUUGAAUUUCUGACUGUCUUUGGUCUCCAAAGCCUUAAAUCGGUCGGCGGGGGACGCGUCUCACAGCGGCACUGUUUUCUCUCGAACAUCUGUUCUAAGGAUUACGCUGCCGUUACACUCAAACACACUUAAUGCCAAAUUUACACUUAGAUACUGACAGUCAUCAGCUGCUCAUCAACACUAAAUGCAGGACAUUAAUUCUUGUGAUUUCAAUAUGCGUAAGAAACUGAUUAACUGCUGGUGGGUUGUUUGGUCUGCGUCCAUAUCGCCUCACUGUAUAUUUUUCGGGUUUGUUCCCUACGAUGGAAUGACCAGCUCUGUAUCUAAUGUGGUUUUCCUAAUCUGCUAAUCUGGUGGGAAGUGACAACGUCAGCGUCUAGACAUAAAAAACCACACUCUGUACAUUUGUAUAUUCACAGAUAUACAUCAAUUCUACUUGAGC
Molecule: long non-coding RNA, 1931 nt
Organism: Thunnus maccoyii (southern bluefin tuna)
Lineage: Eukaryota; Metazoa; Chordata; Actinopteri; Scombriformes; Scombridae
Exons: 3
Source: RefSeq, a predicted model, not a curated record